CAGAGAUAUGAUCGCUCGAGCUGCUUCAGUGUCGUCACUAUCGGCAUCUGGUGAUGUGAUAUGGCAAUAUAUACCUGUCGACUUGAAUAAUUCAUAUACCACACGUGUAUCGUGGUCCAUGUGAUGAAGUAUGGCUCAUAAUUAUCAAAGUGUGAGUUGUUUAAUAUCCUUUUCGAUAAUAUGAAUGAAUAGUUUCACGGACAUUUUAACCAUAAACGCCAAGCUAUACUGUUUGGAUUAUGUUUUUAGUGUGUUAAAUAAUUAAUAUUUUGUAAACAAGUCCAGAUAUUUUUGAAGAAAGAGGUAUUCUUCCUGAUCGUGUGGAAUUGUUGCUGAACAAGUGGGAUAAAAGUCUGUAGUCAAAACAUAAAUAUAAUUGAGUGAGUGAGUGAGUGAGGGAAGGGAGAGAGAGGUAGAGACUCACCUGUAGACCUGGGCUGACAGUGUACACAACUCUGAUGGCCUGACAGUUGGGGUGGGGGAGGGAGAGA
Long non-coding RNA from Haliotis rubra (blacklip abalone), 491 nucleotides. RefSeq lists it as uncharacterized. The record is from RefSeq and is a predicted model, not a curated record. The transcript is spliced from 3 exons. Lineage: Eukaryota; Metazoa; Mollusca; Gastropoda; Lepetellida; Haliotidae.